This 253-nucleotide ribosomal RNA is filed under the name uncultured bacterium. RNAcentral's name for it is "partial 16S ribosomal RNA". It matches the Rfam family "Bacterial small subunit ribosomal RNA", at positions 524 to 776 of the family's 1533-position model. The record is from RNAcentral.
UACGGAGGGUGCAAGCGUUAUCCGGAUUUACUGGGUUUAAAGGGUGCGUAGGCGGGCUUUUAAGUCAGUGGUGAAAUCUCCGAGCUUAACUCGGAAAUUGCCAUUGAUACUAUUAGUCUUGAAUUAAGUUGAGGUGGGCGGAAUGUGUCAUGUAGCGGUGAAAUGCUUAGAUAUGACACAGAACACCGAUUGCGAAGGCAGCUCGCUAAACUUAUAUUGACGCUGAGGCACGAAAGCGUGGGGAUCAAACAGG